GCAGUCGUACGAGAGUUUUUAACUCUAGUUGGCGGACGGGUGAGUAACACGUGAGAANNUACCUUUAGGAGGGGGAUAACAAUUGGAAACGAAUGCUAAUACCCCAUAUGCUUUCGAGUGAAAUGGAUUUAUAUUUAUCCGCCUAGAGAGAAGCUCGCGGCUGAUUAGCUUGUUGGUAAGGUAAGAGCUUACCAAGGCGACGAUCAGUAUCUGGUUUGAGAGGACGAUCAGACACACUGGAACUGAGACACGGUCCAGACUCCUACGGGAGGCAGCAGUGGGGAAUUUUCCGCAAUGGGCGAAAGCCUGACGGAGCAAUACCGCGUGAGGGAAGACUGCCUAUGGGUUGUAAACCUCUUUUUUCAGGGAGGAAUAAAAUGACGUGUACCUGAAGAAUAAGCAUCGGCUAACUCCGUGCCAGCAGCCGCGGUAAGACGGAGGAUGCAAGUGUUAUCCGGAAUCACUGGGCGUAAAGCGUCUGUAGGUGGUUUGAUAAGUCAACUGUUAAAUCUUGAGGCUCAACUUCAAAAUCGCAGUCGAAACUAUUAGACUAGAGUAUAGUAGAGGUAAAGGGAAUUUCCAGUGGAGCGGUGAAA
RNAcentral lists this ribosomal RNA (596 nucleotides) under uncultured cyanobacterium. RNAcentral describes it as "bacterial SSU rRNA". It matches the Rfam family "Bacterial small subunit ribosomal RNA", at positions 57 to 686 of the family's 1533-position model. Lineage: Bacteria; Bacillati; Cyanobacteriota. The record is from RNAcentral.